RNAcentral lists this ribosomal RNA (484 nucleotides) under uncultured bacterium. RNAcentral's name for it is "partial 16S ribosomal RNA". It matches the Rfam family "Bacterial small subunit ribosomal RNA", at positions 28 to 507 of the family's 1533-position model. The record is from RNAcentral.
GAUUAACGCUAGCGGCAGGCAUAAUACAUGCAAGUUGAACGGCAGCACAGGUAGCAAUACUGGGUGGCGAGUGGCGCACGGGUGCGUAACACGUAUGCAACCUACCCUAUACAGGCGAAUAACCUUUAGAAAUGAGGGCUAAUACGCCGUAGUAUUACAGAUGGGCAUCUAUUUGUAAUUAAAGAUUUAUCGGUAUAGGAUGGGCAUGCGUCCCAUUAGUUAGUUGGUAAGGUAACGGCUUACCAAGACGAUGAUGGGUAGGGGAUCUGAGAGGACUUACCCCCACACUGGUACUGAGACACGGACCAGACUCCUACGGGAGGCAGCAGUAAGGAAGAGUGGGCAAUGGCCGCGAGGCUGACCCAGCCAUGCCGCGUGCAGGAAGACGGCCUUAUGGGUUGUAAACUGCUUUUAUACGGGAAUAAUAGAGUGUACGCGUACAUUUAUGCAAGUAUCGUAUGAAUAAGCAUCGGCUAACUCCGUG